This 331-nucleotide unclassified non-coding RNA is filed under the name soil metagenome. RNAcentral's name for it is "partial contains 5.8S ribosomal RNA, internal transcribed spacer 2, and large subunit ribosomal RNA". The stretch from base 1 to 120 matches the Rfam family "5.8S ribosomal RNA", at positions 35 to 154 of the family's 154-position model. The record is from RNAcentral.
GAUGAAGAACGUAGCGAAAUGCGAUACGUAAUGUGAAUUGCAGAAUUCAGUGAAUCAUCGAAUCUUUGAACGCACAUUGCGCCCGCCAGCACUCUGGCGGGCAUGCCUGUUCGAGCGUCAUUUCAACCAUCAAGCCUCGCUUGGUAUUGGGCAACGCGGUCCGCCGCGUGCCUCAAAUCGACCGGCUGGGUCUUCUGUCCCCUAAGCGUUGUGGAAACUAUUCGCUAAAGGGUGUUCGGGAGGCUACGCCGUAAAACAACCCCAUUUCUAAGGUUGACCUCGGAUCAGGUAGGGAUACCCGCUGAACUUAAGCAUAUCAAUAAGCGGAGGA